RNAcentral lists this long non-coding RNA (1323 nucleotides) under Mustela putorius furo (domestic ferret). Its description in RNAcentral is "lncRNA (ENSMPUG00000027025.1)". Lineage: Eukaryota; Metazoa; Chordata; Mammalia; Carnivora; Mustelidae. The record is from RNAcentral.
UACAAACAGAAACACUUCAACAUGUAAUCCCAUAGAAAUAAUGAGUGGGAUAUGUAUUUUUUCACACUAAGUCCUUGACUUCUCUUCUACACUCAUGACACAUCUCAAUUCAGACGAGCCGUAUUUUUAGUACGAUUGAUAGCUACACAUGGCUAGCGCUACCGUAUUGAUAGUGCAGCUCUGUACUAUUCAUAGCUUCUCACAUAUUCUAAUUUUUCCGAACAGUCACAUAUAUUUUGCAUGCAUUUUGAACCAGUGUAUUCAAACUCUCUUGCGUUCUUUCCCCCCGAUGUACUCUAUCUAUAAAUAAAUGUCACAUGUAUUUAGAUGUUGCAUGCAUUAUGUAUACUUAAAUAGAUAAUAUAGAUUUAUCUCUAUGGUGGCUAUGGUCUAUAUAAAUGACCAAUCAUUCCUAAAGUCAAUCUAAUGAUCUUCUGUUGUGUCUCCUGAUGACACGUUCGCCUCCUGGGCAUCUGGGCAAUUUAUCACUCUGUUCUGAGUAUUACUGCCACGAAUGCCUUUUUUGAGAGUGGAAUUCAUUUUUUCCUCUUUGUCUCUCUCUCCCUUCCUUCCCUCUUAGUCUCUUGUCCCUUUCGGGAUUAUAGGAGUGAGGUUGAGCAACCUCCCUUCUCAGCUGACCCAGGACCGACCAACUUUCCACCAUACGGUGCCGCGCGAGGGCAUCUGCGUCUGCUGUGAUAGAGGUUUUGCAGGAGAAAAGAAGAGCCCUUCAUUUUGAAGUGUAAUGAGAAGAUGGAAUAACAAAAUAGAAAACACAGGCAUGAAUAUGGAUACAGCGCUCCACAUGGCCCUGCUGACUAGAAAAUGACAAGGGAAAGACUAUCAUGGCUUCUAUUACAAAGUUAUGCCAACUAGAGCCAGACCUGUGAAAACUUGUGAAGAAAAAUCCAGACAGCCACCUUCUCACUGUGUCCUCCAUGGUCUCUCCUGUGUGAUGUGCACUCCUGUGUCUCUUCCUCCUCUUCCAAGGACACCAGUCUUAGUGGAUCAGGACCCCAUCCUCAUGACCUCAUCUAACCUUAAUCACCUCCUUAAAGGUUCUGUGUCGGAAUACAGUCACAUUAGGGUGGUUUCCUCCUUCAUCUGCAAAUAUAGGCACGCCUCAGAGACAUCGCGGGUUUGUUUCCAGACCACCCCAAUACAGCGAAUGUCACAAUAAAGCAAGUCAAAUGGAUAUUUUGGUUUCCCAGUACAUGUAAAAGUUAUGUCUACACUAUAUUGAAGAGCAUUUUUUUUAAAGAUUUUAUUUAUUUAUUUAACAGAGACCACGAAAGAGGAAACACAAGCAGGGGCAGAUGGAGA